RNAcentral lists this long non-coding RNA (3147 nucleotides) under Elaeis guineensis (African oil palm). RNAcentral describes it as "long non-coding RNA (EGUI_LNC073437)". The record is from RNAcentral. Lineage: Eukaryota; Viridiplantae; Streptophyta; Magnoliopsida; Arecales; Arecaceae.
AGCUCUGGAUUCUUUUUUCCAACGGUAACUUUAUUUCCCUGUUUGUCAUAUUCUAGUGAUCGCAAACUAAACUAACAUAUCCACUAAAAGUUACCGCUAAAUUGCUUUAUUGAGAAGUUAGUUCUCAAUUCUCAUGUCACUAUAAACACCAAUAACUACAUUCACUUUUACCAAUUAGGCAUCAAUAUAGGCAAUCCAUAGCUUGAAUCUUAUAUGGUACUGAGCACCAUAUACUGAUUUUAACAUUUCUGCAAUGACACUGUUCCAUAUAUCUUAAAUGCAAAGGUGGCUUCAAUGUUGACUUGAAUGUCAAGAACAACUUUUGUUGGUUUGAAUCAUUUCUUGUCAUCAUAUCACUUUCUACAAGAAUUUGAAUGAUAUGAUUGUAUCAUAUGUUCCAUUAACUCUUCUAUCAAAUAUGGCGUACCAGUCUACAAUGCAUACUGACACUAGAGGUUUUUUAGUCCAAUGGGAAAUGUCUAUGGACAUAUUCUAUAACAUGGAUUUCAAAUUUCAAAACAACUUUUCUUUAAUAAUUUAUAGUUCAUUGCUCUAUUUUUUUUAAUUAUUACGUGAAAUAUCAUGUUAGGGCCAUGUUAUAUUUUAUUUUUUUAUAAUAUUUGAACAAUUUAACCUCAAGAAAUUUAAUGUAUAUGUAAAUAUCUAGUACGGUUGAUAAAUCCUUCAUUCUGUUUAAUGAAAACACCCAGUGUGACCGUGGACAUGGGGUUAUGUGCCUCAUGUGAAACUCAAAUCUUAUAGAUACAUGAUUAUGAUUCAAGUUAGUUAUUUGCUACAGAGACAUGAUUAUAUUCAUUUUGAAACCAAUCUUAAAACUAAAUUACUAUAGGGUCUCGUGGUAGUUAGAAUGUUUAAAUGUUGAGAACAGGAUCAGAUGCUUCACCUAAUUUGGAAGGAUCCUGCAGCAAACAAUAGCAUUUGGUGAUUCAUUGACCUGUGCUCUGUCUAAAUUAUGUUAGAGAUGUCUUACAGUGCUACAGUUAGAAGGUUCUUUCUCCAUAACAAUGAGGAUUUUAAAAAAAUAAAAAAUCUAUCUGCAUGAAGAAUCUAUGAGUGAAGUCAUGCAGCAUGCUUUCCGAUUUAGUGAAAAUUCAAGAAGAAAGCAUGAUGAAAUGAGCUUUGAUGGUCAUAAUUUGUAAGUUGAAGAGAUAAUUUUUCUGCUUUUUUCCUUCAUCUUUACCUUGGAGGGUUUUGCAAGGGUUCAAUCAAAUGAUAAUAUAUCUGCAUGUUUCCUUCGUUAUUAGUGAUAUCCAAAAGGAUGAAUGGUAAAAGGAUAUUUAAUGAAUCUGUUGAUCCUUGAGAAGUCACUGGAGUUGAGAUCUUUUCAAUUAAUGCUUGUGAUUAAGGACUUGUGUAGCAUUCUGGAAACAUGUUAUAUAAUUGGCCAGAUCUAGCCAAUUUCUUCCCUAUUUUAGGUGUUGUUCCAGUUGCUACCUCUCUAAGAUUGGAUCUGCUUGUGCAUCAAAUUGGAUCUGAUUUUGCCGUGUUUUUUUCUUUCUUUCCUCUUAGCUAUUUGCAGACUUAUCAUCAGGUCUUUCCCUUUUUGUGGUGGCUUAGUUAAGUCAAUGCCAUGCAUCCUUCUUCAUUUCGUAAUCCUUCUUCUUUCCUGUGAGCAAGCUAUGCUCUGAUCCUGUUACCAAUGAUGACAUAUCUUCUCCUCAGCCAUCUAGUCCAUACCUGCAUGGAGAACUGGAAACUUCAUUCCUCUUGUGUAUGUAUAGAAACCUAGAAUUCUUCUUGCUGCCACUUGUUCAGCAUGAAAACAAGGAACAUUCGAUUCUCUUUCUUGUCAUAUAAUGUAUCUAUUACCAUAUCGUUGCAUUUCUGCAGGUAGAGAGACAACUUUGCUGGUCCUAUUUGCAAAUUAGUUUGGAGUCCAGCUGGUAGUUAGAAUUAUGUGCGAAGUAAUAUCACUGCCUGUAAAAUUCUGCUGGUCCUAUUUGCAAAUUAGUUUGAAGUCUAGCUGGUAGUUAGAACUAUGUGCUAAGUAAUAUCACUGCCUGUAAAAUGCUAGGUAACAUGUUUUCAUGAUAUGUUCACUAACAUGUCCUUUAACUUCAUGUGCUGAGAGUUUGCACAUACUAAUGGUACAGUUCUCCUGUUCCAUAGCAGCUGUGUAUGAACACAUAUUCAGUUGGUGGACCAAGUACUUUUAAAUUUGAUGACCUAUUCUCUUGUAUGCUACAAAUUUAAUCAGUGAUUGUUUUAAGUAAUAUCAUUGCAGGAUUGUUGUGUUAUAGUUCUCACUCUUCCAACUUGUACUCUCAAGAUAAUUGCAUGCUUAUACAAGAUACCUACAUGUGUUAACCAAUAUUUCAUUUUGAUUCAAGAGUCGAACUUUCUUUGCUACGAAGAGACAAAAUUUGAAAUGUGAUUCAUGUGACACUCAAAUUCUUACAAUAUUUUGCUGACCAAUUGCUAUGGUGCUUUGAUUUUUGUAAAUGAUAUUCAACGCAAUAAAUUGGUUAAUGGUUUCCUAUAGGACUUGUAUGCUCAUUUAGUAGGGAGGUUAAGGAUGUAUAGGUAAUGGUAUUGAUGUGGGCAGUCGCUGAGUUGCGGGUGAAAUCAUUUUGUCUACAUCAAUCUGUAGUUUCAUCCUCCAGAUAGAUGAUACCACUUGGCUGUAUUCUAUUCAUACAAUUUUCAGGAUUUCGACUAACUACUCUGUGAAAUAUCUAAAUUAUCUUUUUUUUUUUCAUAUACAGGAAUGCAGCUGUCAGUAUAUAUACUGCCUCACUAUCCAGCAGCUUUUGAGAUGUAAGAACGGGACACGUCUUGGUGAAAUUUUAAUUGUAGGAUUUUAUGGUUUAAAUGAUAAACCCUAUUACAGCUGUCUUAUUUAGCACACCUUGUGGUGACAUUUCAAGUGAUGGAUUUUGUAGUUUAAAUAAGAAAACUUAUCACAACUAUAUUAUUUUAGCACAUGUUUUGGUGAAUUCCAAAUUUGGGAUUUGUAGUUUCAAUGAGAAGGCCAUAUUACAACUGUCUUAUUUUAGCAUGCAAUAACAUAUCUAUUUUGACAGCAACAUUUUUCCCUCUCAAAUGAAGUCACCAAUUGGUAUAAAUUGCCUUACAUCUGAAUAUGAGCUGCCAUAGAUCAUUGUAUUUCUUUAAAAAACAAGGAAG